This 474-nucleotide ribosomal RNA is filed under the name uncultured bacterium. RNAcentral's name for it is "bacterial SSU rRNA". It matches the Rfam family "Bacterial small subunit ribosomal RNA", at positions 335 to 799 of the family's 1533-position model. The record is from RNAcentral.
ACUCCUACGGGAGGCAGCAGUGGGGAAUAUUGCACAAUGGGCGCAAGCCUGAUGCAGCCAUGCCGCGUGUGUGAAGAAGGCCUUCGGGUUGUAAAGCACUUUCAGUCGUGAGGAAGGUAGUGUAGUUAAUAGCUGCAUUAUUUGACGUUAGCGACAGAAGAAGCACCGGCUAACUCCGUGCCAGCAGCCGCGGUAAUACGGAGGGUGCGAGCGUUAAUCGGAAUUACUGGGCGUAAAGCGCAUGCAGGUGGUUUGUUAAGUCAGAUGUGAAAGCCCGGGGCUCAACCUCGGAAUAGCAUUUGAAACUGGCAGACUAGAGUACUGUAGAGGGGGUUAGAAUUUCAGGUGUAGCGGUGAAAUGCGUAGAGAUCUGAAGGAAUACCGGUGGCGAAGGCGGCCCCUGGACAGAUACUGACACUCAGAUGCGAAAGCGUGGGAGCAAACAGGAUUAGAUACCCCGUGGUAGCGACUGAG